RNAcentral lists this ribosomal RNA (443 nucleotides) under uncultured bacterium. RNAcentral describes it as "partial 16S ribosomal RNA". It matches the Rfam family "Bacterial small subunit ribosomal RNA", at positions 338 to 795 of the family's 1533-position model. The record is from RNAcentral.
CCUACGGGUGGCAGCAGUGGGGAAUAUUGGGCAAUGGAGGCAACUCUGACCCAUCAAAGCCGCGUGAAUGAUGAAGGUCUUCGGAUUGUAAAGCUUUUUUCUAAGGGAAGAAGAAAGUGACGGUACCUUAGGAAUAAGCCUAGGCUCACUACGUGCCAGCAGUCGCGGUAAUACGUAGGAGGCAAGCGUUAUCCGGAAUGACUGGGCGUAAAGGGUGCGUAGGUGGUUUGACAAGUUAGUAGCGCAACUCCGGAGCUCAACUUCGGAACUACUACUAACACUGUCGGACUUGAGUGCAGUGGGGGCAAUCGGAAUUCCUGGUGUAGCGGUGGAAUGCGUAGAUAUUAGGAGGAACACCAGUGGCGAAGGCGGAUUGCUAGACUGUAACUGACACUGAGGCACGAAAGUGUGGGUAGCAAACAGGAUUAGAUACCCCUGUAGUC